AGGGAGUACCACCUUAAAUUGUAGUGUAGAUAUGUGCAGAGUAACCUUGCCUAAUAUCCUCCAAACCCGAAGCUUUGCAAAUUUAAAAGCCAUCUACAUUUUAGAUUUAAUGUCCUGUUUUCAAUUCCUAAUCUAAAUCAUCUCAACUCCCUGUAAUUCCUGAAUGAAUUCUAAACUCCAAGUCCUUCACGGGCCGAAUUCUAAUUCCCCCUCAAAAAACAGCCCGUAGACCCGUUUCACUCCGGUGUGUCUUUUUUCCCUUUCCUGUCACCCACAAC
This 278-nucleotide long non-coding RNA is filed under the name Setaria viridis. Its description in RNAcentral is "long non-coding RNA (SVIR_LNC008742)". Lineage: Eukaryota; Viridiplantae; Streptophyta; Magnoliopsida; Poales; Poaceae. The record is from RNAcentral.